Molecule: ribosomal RNA, 463 nt
Filed under: uncultured bacterium
Lineage: Bacteria
Description: partial 16S ribosomal RNA
Rfam family: Bacterial small subunit ribosomal RNA
Source: RNAcentral
CGAACGCUGGCGGCGUGCUUAACACAUGCAAGACGAACGGAAAGGCCCUGCUUGCAGGGUACUCGAGUGGCGAACGGGAGAGUAACACGUGGGUGAUCUGCCCUGCACUUCGGGAUAAGCCUGGGAAACUGGGUCUAAUACCGGAUAGGAGCCAUUUUUAGUGUGAUGGUUGGAAAGUUUUUUCGGUGUAGGAUGAGCUCGCGGCCUAUCAGCUUGUUGGUGGGGUAAUGGCCUACCAAGGCGGCGACGGGUAGCCGGCCUGAGUGGGUGGACGGCCACAUUGGGACUGAGAUACGGCCCCGACUCCUACGGGUGGCAGCAGUGGGGAAUUUUGCUCAAUGGGCGCAAGCCUGAUGCAGCGACGCCGCGUGGGGGAUGACGGCCUUCGGGUUGUAAACUCCUUUCGCUAGGGACGAAGCUUUUUGUGACGGUACCUAGAUAAGAAGCACCGGCUAACUACGUG